GCCUGGGUGGCUCAGUCAGUUAAGCGUCCGACUUCGGCUCGGAUCAUGACCUCACGGUAUGUGAGUUCGAGCCCCGCAUCAGGCU
Non-coding RNA from Felis catus (domestic cat), 85 nucleotides. NCBI's taxonomy places the organism in Eukaryota, Metazoa, Chordata, Mammalia, Carnivora, Felidae. The record is from Rfam.